GAGUAUCUGUGUGAGUACAGGUAAAUAUGUAUAUGAGAGUGUGUUAGCUGAGAGAGUUGCUUUUAAAGGUUUUGCAGUAUGUUUUCUUGUUGUUUUUUUAGUUACCAAGACCAUUGAAAACGUUUCGUAAGUUUCAAGACGAAAGAAAAGAAAGCGAUUUAGUUCUUCAACGACUGCUGAACGAGUUGGUGGUGGUUAUAUUAAAAACGUUUUAAGAUUGAAAAGAAUUAAAAAAAGUUUACAGGUUUAACAACAAAAAUUGAAAAAAAAGAAAAAAAUAUAUUAUGCAAAAAAGUUAGCAACAAGGCUUAGAUAGAAACAACAAAAUAAAAGCCAUUUAAAACAAGUUUCCUUUUAAAGCCAA
This is a long non-coding RNA of Lucilia cuprina (Australian sheep blowfly), 364 nucleotides long. RefSeq lists it as uncharacterized. The transcript is spliced from 2 exons. The record is from RefSeq and is a predicted model, not a curated record. NCBI's taxonomy places the organism in Eukaryota, Metazoa, Arthropoda, Insecta, Diptera, Calliphoridae.